GAGAGAGGCUAAAGCAUAAGGAUUGUUAAUCCCUACGUCCAUGGUUAAAAAUAAUCAAAGGAUAGGAGGUCCCACCUGCCCGGUGAGGC
Molecule: transfer RNA, 89 nt
Filed under: Megalechis thoracata
Lineage: Eukaryota; Metazoa; Chordata; Actinopteri; Siluriformes; Callichthyidae
Description: partial tRNA-Ser
Source: RNAcentral